Molecule: ribosomal RNA, 440 nt
Filed under: uncultured bacterium
Lineage: Bacteria
Description: partial 16S ribosomal RNA
Rfam family: Bacterial small subunit ribosomal RNA
Source: RNAcentral
CCUACGGGAGGCAGCAGUAGGGAAUAUUGCUCAAUGGGGGAAACCCUGAAGCAGCAACGCCGCGUGGAGGAUGAAGGUUUUCGGAUUGUUAACUCCUUUUGUUAGAGAAGAUAAUGACGGUAUCUAACGAAUAAGCACCGGCUAACUCCGUGCCAGCAGCCGCGGUAAUACGGAGGGUGCAAGCGUUACUCGGAAUCACUGGGCGUAAAGAGCGCGUAGGCGGGAUAGCAAGUCAGAUGUGAAAUCCUAUGGCUUAACCAUAGAACUGCAUUUGAAACUGUUAUUCUAGAGUAUGGGAGAGGUAGGUGGAAUUCUUGGUGUAGGGGUAAAAUCCGUAGAGAUCAAGAGGAAUACUCAUUGCGAAGGCGACCUGCUAGAACAUAACUGACGCUGAUGCGCGAAAGCGUGGGGAGCAAACAGGAUUAGAUACCCUAGUAGUC